CGUCUCGAUGUCGCACACAGGCUGGAUGACAGGAGGGUUCACUCUGCAUGUGUCUGUGCACAUUGGUUGUAUAGUGGAAUGAACGGAGAGAGUGAACCCUCCUGUCAGCUGUUCAGCCUCUUUGUCCCAGUAUGUGGAAGCGGGGGCUACUAGUGAGUGGAUACACACAGUGCUAGCAGUUAGCAAGUUAGCAAGCAAAUGUGUUAAUAUGAAUGAAGGCACAGGAGCGAUAGUUUCUAAGCCGAAUGCCAUGGCUCCAGUGUGGAUGUGCAGCAGAGCCUUCGUCCCGACAGUCAACACUUAACUGAGGCGUUUGAUCGGUGGAAUAAAUAUAAAACAAAACAGCGCAAAAUGGCGCACGCUCGCGACACUGCAAAAGAAAUGCAAAUGAAAAGCCAACAUUGUUACAAAUGUUUGAAAUGUUACAAAUGUUGGACAGACAGUAUGAAUUGCCUGGGAGAACGUGCAUGCACGUGUCACAAACAGCAAUUCCUGAACUGUAUAACCGAGUGAAGGAAGACGUUUUGAAGGACAUCAGAAACAUUACAUUUUACUCUGCCACCACAGAUAUGUAGUCCAGCUCAAAUAUGACCCCCUACAUUAGUUUAACAAUACACUACAUAACUGCGUAUGUGUUUAUUGGAGUGUGUUUUUAUUGUUCACAGAGACAGGGUCUCUAUAGCAACAAGCAUGUGGCUCACAUGGGUACACUACACUUGAGUACCAUCUAGUGGUUCAAAUGUGAAUUACAACUCAUGACAAUUAAUGAUUUUUUUUUUUAACAAAUGUCGAUAUUAUCGAUUAUUGAUGAUAAUUUGAAGCGCAAUUAUCAGAAACUUGUUAUCAUGACAGGCCUAACCCUACGUGUUUGUGACUCACUGUCCGUGGGUCUGCUAAAUAACCCGCCAUGGGCCCCCAAAAAAAGUUGCGAGUGCCAGCAAGAAACACUACUGAAUUCGAUCACGUCAGGAUGUACAGGAAGUCUGCUUCAACAAUAAAUUCCAUCCAUUCCUCAUUUAGAAUUAUUUCACUGUUUUCUGCAUGUAAAACUGUAAUUAUUCUCUAUAAACUAUAUUUUUUGUGAACACUUUUGGGUGUCUGGAACAGAUUAAGUGGAUUUCCUCUGGGAAAACUUGCCUCGGUUUUCACAGGUUUAGUUUUUUUCAAACUUUUUGGAUUUGAUUAACAACGAAAGCCGAGGUACCAGUGUAUUUUGCUGCAUCUGUUGUUGUGUGUCGGUGUUACCUCCAGGACGCUGAGUCGGAUGGUGCCGUCUCCAUCUUGAUCGAAGGCCUGGAAAGCUCCUACAGGGAGUGUGUGUUGCCUCGCUUAAAAAAGUUUGGGCACUCCUGGCCUCCCAACAAGUGAUGACGAUGUUGAAGAUGAUGACAAAUGAAGACAUACUGAACAUGGCCUCCAGGCGGACCAGGCAGCUGAUGAAGCUGUCAAAGUCGAUGUUCAUGCUCUCGUUGGCGUAGCGCAUGGUGAUGAUGUCAUACAGCUGGUUGUUGAGGCGGAAUCCUGAGCGGGACACAAGACACAUGACUGUACAGCGACAAGAACAUUGAGAGGGUGGCGGAACUCCUGAAGGUUCAGUCGACCCGUCCCGUCCAUCUGAGCCCAGACAGUUAAAGACAGCCUCUUCCUGUAUGAUUGGUAUUUAAUAUUAUUGACCCUAUUUGGUAACUUUGGUGUGGCCCUACUAUAAGCUCGUCCAACCAUGUGGCUUCUCGCAGCCCAUCAGCAGGGAUACGAUGACAGUAUUGAAAAGAUGGAUUCAGUGUUCAAAAUAAUAAAUAAAUGGAGGCGAGAGUUGACAUUUUGGUGAAAAAUAACGUAAAACUCACCAUUAACAUUUUUUUUUGGUACUUAUGAAAUCAAAUUUUAUCUGAUCAAAAUAGCAGGUAAAUAUAGUAAUCCUUCGCAACUUUGCGCUUCAAAUUUUGCAGCUUCACUCUACCCCGGUUUUUCAAAAAUAUAUAUAUAAUAAUAAUAAAUAAUAAAUAAUAAUAAUAAAUCAUGCUGUUUCGUGGUUGCAUACAACCUAUUAUUUGUCAAAAUGUGUCAAAUAUCUGCAUAUUUAAACAAAUUUGAUCAUUUUCAAGCAUA
This is a long non-coding RNA of Dunckerocampus dactyliophorus (ringed pipefish), 2109 nucleotides long. RefSeq lists it as uncharacterized. The record is from RefSeq and is a predicted model, not a curated record. NCBI's taxonomy places the organism in Eukaryota, Metazoa, Chordata, Actinopteri, Syngnathiformes, Syngnathidae. The transcript is spliced from 3 exons.